RNAcentral lists this unclassified non-coding RNA (224 nucleotides) under plant metagenome. RNAcentral's name for it is "partial contains small subunit ribosomal RNA, internal transcribed spacer 1, and 5.8S ribosomal RNA". The record is from RNAcentral.
UUUCUGUAGGUGAACCUGCGGAAGGAUCAUUAUUGAAAUAAACCUGAUGGGUUGUUGCUGGUUCUCUAGGGAGCAUGUGCACACCUGUCAUUUUUAUAUCUCCACCUGUGCACCUUUUGUAGACCUUACAGGUCUAUGUUGCUUUCAUUUACCCCCAAUGUAUGUUAAUAGAAUGUUGCGACCAUAAAAUUAUACAACUUUCAGCAACGGAUCUCUUGGCUCUC